CUGGUAUACUCAAUUUACGACGAUUCGCACGAAGAAACACAAAAUCAUUGUUCCUAACCAAGGGAUAUUUCAGUCUAAUUGCCUCACCAAUUUUUGCUCGAAUGUUUGAUUUACUGUCUGUGGUCAUCAGAUUAACAAAUCCUCUAAGCAUGAUGUUAUUGCUGGUAAUCAUGUAUUUGUCGCACUCAUCUUCAUCGCCAUAGUUUGUCAAGGCAAACUCGAAAGGCUUCUGCUGAUCAUUGACAUUGUUCUUUUUCGGAUUUUUUGCUUCGCUACUACCAGUUG
Molecule: non-coding RNA, 285 nt
Organism: Paramuricea clavata
Lineage: Eukaryota; Metazoa; Cnidaria; Anthozoa; Malacalcyonacea; Plexauridae
Source: the annotation of a GenBank genome assembly